CGAACGGGUGAGUAAUGCGUGACCAACCUGCCCCAUGCUCCAGAAUAGCUCUUGGAAACGGGUGGUAAUGCUGGAUGCUCCAACUUGACGCAUGUCUUGUUGGGAAAGUGUUUAGUGGCAUGGGAUGGGGUCGCGUCCUAUCAGCUUGUAGGCUGGGUAAUGGCCCACCUAGGCUUCGACGGGUAGCCGGCCUGAGAGGGCGGACGGCCACAUUGGGACUGAGAUACGGCCCAGACUCCUACGGGAGGCAGCAGUU
This 256-nucleotide ribosomal RNA is filed under the name uncultured Gardnerella sp. RNAcentral describes it as "partial 16S ribosomal RNA". It matches the Rfam family "Bacterial small subunit ribosomal RNA", at positions 99 to 355 of the family's 1533-position model. Lineage: Bacteria; Bacillati; Actinomycetota; Actinomycetes; Bifidobacteriales; Bifidobacteriaceae. The record is from RNAcentral.